Molecule: ribosomal RNA, 253 nt
Filed under: uncultured bacterium
Lineage: Bacteria
Description: partial 16S ribosomal RNA
Rfam family: Bacterial small subunit ribosomal RNA
Source: RNAcentral
UACAGAGGUCCCAAGCGUUGUUCGGAUUCACUGGGCGUAAAGGGUGCGUAGGUGGCAAGGUAAGUUCGAUGUGAAAUCUCCGGGCCUAACCCGGAAAUGGCAUUGAAUACUAUCUUGCUUGAGGGUUGGAGGGGGGACUGGAAUUCUCGGUGUAGCAGUGAAAUGCGUAGAUAUCGAGAGGAACACCAGUGGCGAAGGCGACUACCUGGCCCAUUCUUGACGCUGAGGUGCGAAAGCGUGGGGAGCAAACAGG